Molecule: long non-coding RNA, 327 nt
Filed under: Salvia miltiorrhiza (redroot sage)
Lineage: Eukaryota; Viridiplantae; Streptophyta; Magnoliopsida; Lamiales; Lamiaceae
Description: long non-coding RNA (SMIL_LNC001312)
Source: RNAcentral
AAUAAUAAUAAAAUUUGUCACUAAUACAUUAAUAUUUUAUGACAAAAAAUUAUUUUAUCAUUGAAAAAUUAUUUGUGGUAAUAGACCAACAGAUUAUAGUAUUGAGCUUUGUAAUAGAAAAUAAAGUUUGCUAGGUAGUAGUCAGAUUUAAGAAUAUAGUAUAGUGGCAAAUACAGGAUAUAGUCGGAUAAUUGAUUAUUGAAAAUGACGUACACUAUUUUGUGAUGUUUGAAUUGAAAAGGAUUUUGGGAAGUUAAGGAAGAAAUCUGUGUCUAGGGGAUUGGCAGCGAGUCAUGCUCACCAUGAUUAGCAUACACUCCUAUUUCC